UGAAUACGAGAUGCUACGGCGUCGAAGCAGUCUAUGUCAUACUUCCAAGAAAAGCUCGCACUGUCAUAAACAAAUAAUGCCUGUACCAUAACCGACACAGGUGGGUAGGUAGAGUAUACUAAGGGGCGCGAGAUAACUCUCUCUAAGGAACUCGGCAAAAUGACUCCGUAACUUCGGGAGAAGGAGUGCCUUAUUUAUAAGGUUGCAAUAACAAGAUCCAAGCAACUGUUUAUCAAAAACACAGGUCUCCGCUAAGUCGUAAGACGAUGUAUGGGGGCUGACGCCUGCCCAGUGCCAGAAGGUUAAAGAAGUUGGUUAGUGUAUGCGAAGCUGAUGACUGAAGCCCUGGUGAACGGCGGCCGUAACAAUAACGGUCCUAAGGUAGCGAAAUUCCUUGUCGGGUAAGUUCCGACCCGCACGAAAGGCGUAAUGAUUUGGAUACUGUCUCGGAGAGAGGCUCGGUGAAAUAGACUUGUCUGUGAAGAUGCGGACUACCUGCACCAGGACAGAAAGACCCUAUGAAGCUUUACUGUAACUUGAAAUUGGAAUUGGACUUUGCUUGCGCAGUAUAGGUGGGAAGCGUUGAAGAUAUUCUUGCGGGAGUAUUGGAGCUAUCAGUGAGAUACCACUCUUGUAAUGUUAGAUUUCUAACUUUGAACCAUAAUCUGGUCAAAGAACAGUUUCAGGUGGGCAGUUUGACUGGGGCGGUCGCCUCCCAAAUGGUAACGGAGGCGUACAAAGGUUUCCUCUGAACGGAUAGAAAUCGUAUCUAGAGUGUAAAGGCAUAAGGAAGCUUGACUGUGAGACCUACAAGUCGAGCAGGGACGAAAGUCGGUCUUAGUGAUCUGACGGUACUGAGUGGAAAGGCCGUCUCUCAACGGAUAAAAGUUACUCUAGGAUAACAGGCUGAUCUCCCCCAAGAGUUCACAUCGACGGGGAGGUUUGGCACCUCGAUGUCGGCUCAUCGCAUCCUGGGGCGGUAGUACGUCCCAAGGGUUGGGCUGUUCGCCCAUGAAAGCGGUACGCGAGCUGGGUUCAGAACGUCGUGAGACAGUUCGGUCCAUAUCCGGUGUAGGCGUUAGAACAUUGAGAGGAGCCUUCUUUAGUACGAGAGGACCGAGAAGGACACACCGCUGGUGUACCAGUUAUCGUGCCAACGGUAAACGCUGGGUAGCUAUGUGUGGAGUGGAUAACCGCUGAAAGCAUCUAAGUGGGAAGCCCACCUCAAGAUGAGUAUUC
RNAcentral lists this ribosomal RNA (1239 nucleotides) under metagenome. RNAcentral describes it as "bacterial LSU rRNA". It matches the Rfam family "Bacterial large subunit ribosomal RNA", at positions 1564 to 2813 of the family's 2925-position model. The record is from RNAcentral.